Long non-coding RNA from Mercenaria mercenaria, 1769 nucleotides. RefSeq lists it as uncharacterized. The transcript has 3 exons. Lineage: Eukaryota; Metazoa; Mollusca; Bivalvia; Venerida; Veneridae. The record is from RefSeq and is a predicted model, not a curated record.
CAAUUGUGUGAGACCUCUCAGUUGCUGUUAUGUGAGACCUCCAUUCCAGUUUUUACCUUUGACAUUGUUGACCUUAUUUGAACUCUAUUUUUAUUGGUUCUCGUGAUCAGCUGUUUCGGGGCAGAGCGCCGUUUUCAGUUUGAUAGAGCAGACAUGUUGGUUAUUCUGUCGAGUUCUUUAAAAAGGAACUUAAAUAAUGGAAUAAUUUAAUAGUUUAAUACAGUAAAGCACUCACGGGAGACAGGCGAAGAUGUGUUGUGUAUAGUAGCUAGUGUGAUCAAGUCCAUAAUUUGGUCACCGUGUUUCGGUCACCGUUUUGACUAGGAAAUGUCAUUUACUAUAUAACAGACUGUUUAGUGUCUAAGACAAUACAAAAUUGUGAUACAAUUGAUAAAUAAUAAAAAGGACAUUUCGAACCACACAAUCAACAUUGGUUAUUCUUUUAUUAAGUAGUUGAACUCGAACUGGUGUAUAGAAAAUAAGCCAUAGUUACAAUUUAGAAUGUCGGUGACUAUGUUUGAGGAAUUAAACACGUCGCAUUGAAUAUUCACAAGAAACAAUCAUACCGAUAAUAAGCAAGUGGCCAUAUUCCUUUGUUAAAAUUCGUUAUUACAAAAUUGAAGAUUUUGACAAUACAUUGCAGCUUUGAAGUAGUGAAUAUUUACUUUUAAGAAUAUUUAAGACAACAAAAAGAUGCUUAUAUGCUUAUAUAAUUUCCUGUGUAAGGGAACAGCGUGGCGUUAGCGAGGUGUUUUAUCCACUUUGUCCACGAGGGUUGGAAAUAUACACUACUGCGUGCACGUGCCAUUAAAAGGGUCAUGAAAUUGGCUUAUAUGCUUACAUAAUUUCCUGUGUAAAGGAACAGCGUGGCGGUAGCGAGGUGUUUUAUCCACUUUGUCCACGAGGGUUGGAAAUAUACACUACUGCAUGCACAUGCCAUUAAAAGGGUCAUGAAAUUGGCCUUAAUUUUUUCAAACGUUUUUAACAGAGUUUUAACAGGUCACAAUUAAAUUUCACCCAUUACUUCUUACUAUUUAAUGGGAUUUUCAUGAACAUAGUUUUAAUGCCAUACAUUAAAAAGCCAUGAAAUAAGUAUAUUAAAACCCUAGUAAAAUAUACCUUGUUAAAAUGACUUUGGUGGCCAUGAAAAGCUGCUUAAAAUAAACCAUUAAAAUAAGUUAACAGGCUCCUUAAAUUUUUUAAUUGGCAUGAAAUUAAUGUGCCAUUAAAAAUAGCCCUUCAGUCCACAUUAAAUAGUAAGAACUAAUGGGGCCAUUAAUUUUCAAUACUCUGUUAAUGGCCGUUAAUUAUCAAAAAAUUGAUUAAUGGUCUCAUAAAAUAUGCCAAUCAAUUUUAAUGGGUUCGUAAUAUUCUAAUGGUCUAUCAAAUUAAGGGCCAUGAAAAUUUGCCAUCCGAAUUAGACAUCUUAAGAUAGUCAACUUCAUAUUCAAUUUUAAUGGGUUCGUAAUAUUCUAAUGGUCUAUCAAAUUAAGGGCCAUGAAAAUUUGCCAUCAGAAUUAGACAUCUUAAGAUAGUCAACGUCAUAUUUAUAUUUGCCGUAUUGAUUAAAACUACUUAUUACUACACAUGUAAUAGUAUCUAUACAUAUGUACUGUUUUGUAAAAUGCUAGAAGAAUAUUUGUUUCUUCUUUUUUCUCUCAUUAUUUUGUAAUGUAAACACAUGUAACAGCCUCGUGCAUAUUGUCAUAUUGUAUCCUUAUUCUGUCAUAUGUUCAUAUGAAAUGAGAAAAUAAAUGGAUAUUGUAUUG